This 252-nucleotide ribosomal RNA is filed under the name uncultured bacterium. RNAcentral's name for it is "partial 16S ribosomal RNA". It matches the Rfam family "Bacterial small subunit ribosomal RNA", at positions 524 to 775 of the family's 1533-position model. The record is from RNAcentral.
UACAGAGGAGCCAAGCGUUGUCCGGAUUGACUGGGCGUAAAGCGCACGCAGGCGGUUGCGCGCGUGGGGUGUGAAAUCUGGCCGCUUAACGGCCAGGCGCCAUCCCAUACGGCGCGACUGGAGCGAUGCAGAGGUCGGUGGAAUUGCCGGUGUAGUGGUGAAAUGCGUAGAGAUCGGGAGAAAUACCUGUGGCGAAGGCGGCCUACUGGGCCGGACCUGACGCUGAGACGGCGAAGGCGUGGGAGCGAACGG